UGAGAGUUCAAGAGGGCGUGAAACCGUUUAGAAGUAAACGGAUGGACCCGACAGUGAGUCGGCAGCAUUCAGCUCUUUGUCCCACCGUUGCCCCGUUUGGUUUCGGACUUGAUGGACGCAUAUGUGGUCAAGGAGUGCAUUUGCUGUCGAUGCGCACUAGGGCCUGUGACGGCGCUGGAAUAAAGCGGGCAAUUGCCGGCCACACCUGUGUGGUGUUCCCGUUGUCCGCUGUAACCGAGUUGCUGUGACAGGAGAUUAUUGCACGGGGCCCGCCUCUACUCGAGCACCCGGAGAGCCUUGCCAAAUGAAAUGCAAUUCCUUGCUCGCAAGACUUUGCGAUGCCUGGCUCGGUGAUUUGGGUUGUUUUCGAGAUGGCCCUGAACCCUGGUGAUUUUGUCGGCCACCCAUCCGACCCGUCUUGAAACACGGACCAAGGAGUCUAACAUGUGCGCGAGUCAAUGGGUGGGAAAACCCAGAGGCGAAAUGAAAGUGAAGCCCGGUUCGGCUGGGUGACAUGGGACCCUUUGUCGUGGGUGGCAUCGGAGCACCAUGGUCCCGUUCAUGCUGCAUCGUCAGCGGGGCGGAGAUUGAGCGUACACGUUGGGACCCGAAAGAUGGUGAACUAUGCCUGAGCAGGAUGAAGCCAGAGGAAACUCUGGUGGAGGUCCAUAGCGAUUCUGACGUGCA
RNAcentral lists this ribosomal RNA (687 nucleotides) under Epsilonematidae sp. 503_5-1000. RNAcentral's name for it is "eukaryotic LSU rRNA". It matches the Rfam family "Eukaryotic large subunit ribosomal RNA", at positions 382 to 895 of the family's 3401-position model. Lineage: Eukaryota; Metazoa; Nematoda; Chromadorea; Desmodorida; Epsilonematidae. The record is from RNAcentral. RNAcentral also lists the same sequence under 3 other names.